GUCUGUAUGAAAACAAUAUAAAGUCUGACCUGCCCACUGAGUAUUUAAAGGGCCGCGGUAAUUUGACCGUGCGAAGGUAGCAUAAUCAAUAGUCUUUUAAUUGAAGGCUGGAAUGAACGGUUGGACAAGAAGUAGUCUGUCUUUUUUAUAAAGAUUGAAUUUAACUUUUAAGUGAAAAGGCUUAAAUUUUCUAAUGGGACGAUAAGACCCUAUAAAACUUUAUAAGGUUUAAAAUAAUUUUUGAAGUUGGGUUUAACAAAAGUUAUUUUUACUUUAUUGCGUUGGGGCGACGAAAAUAUAAUUGUAACUGUUUUUAAGUUAAAAUAAAAGUCUUUAGUUGGGUUGAUCCUUUAUUAUGGAUUAAAAGAAUAAGUUACUUUAGGGAUAACAGCGUAAUUUUUUCUGAGAGUUCUUAUCGACGAAAGUAGUUGCGACCUCGAUGUUGAAUUAAAGUUUCUCCAAGGUGUAGGAGCUUUGGUUAGUGGGUCUGUUCGACCCUUAAAACUUUACAUGAUUUGAGUUCAAACCGGUGUGAG
RNAcentral lists this ribosomal RNA (536 nucleotides) under Meningodora vesca. RNAcentral describes it as "partial 16S ribosomal RNA". It matches the Rfam family "Bacterial large subunit ribosomal RNA", at positions 1819 to 2625 of the family's 2925-position model. The record is from RNAcentral. Lineage: Eukaryota; Metazoa; Arthropoda; Malacostraca; Decapoda; Oplophoridae.